RNAcentral lists this non-coding RNA (102 nucleotides) under uncultured Romboutsia sp. RNAcentral's name for it is "SAM riboswitch (S box leader)". It matches the Rfam family "SAM riboswitch aptamer (S box leader)". From Rfam's summary of the family: The SAM riboswitch is found upstream of a number of genes which code for proteins involved in methionine or cysteine biosynthesis in Gram-positive bacteria. Lineage: Bacteria; Bacillati; Bacillota; Clostridia; Peptostreptococcales; Peptostreptococcaceae. The record is from RNAcentral.
CUUAUCAAGAGCGGCGGAGGGACAGGCCCUGUGAAGCCCAGCAACCACCCAUUAGGGAAAAGGUGCUAAAUCCUACAAGACUAGAUGUCUUGAGAGAUGAGG